Molecule: ribosomal RNA, 442 nt
Filed under: uncultured bacterium
Lineage: Bacteria
Description: partial 16S ribosomal RNA
Rfam family: Bacterial small subunit ribosomal RNA
Source: RNAcentral
CCUACGGGAGGCAGCAGUGGGGAAUAUUGGGCAAUGGGCGCAAGCCUGACCCAGCAACGCCGCGUGAAGGAAGAAGGCUUUCGGGUUGUAAACUUCUUUUAAGAGGGAAGAGCAGAAGACUGUACCUCUUGACUAAGCCACGGCUAACUACGUGCCAGCAGCCGCGGUAAUACGUAGGUGGCAAGCGUUGUCCGGAUUUACUGGGUGUAAAGGGCGUGUAGCCGGGCUGACAAGUCAGAUGUGAAAUUCCGGGGCUCAACCCCGGACCUGCAGUUGAAACUGUUGGUCUUGAGUAGCGGAGAGGCAGGCGGAAUGCGUGGUGUAGCGGUGAAAUGCGUAGAUAUUAGGAAGAACACCAGUGGCGAAGGCGGCCUGCUGGACGACAACUGACGGUGAGGCGCGAAAGCGUGGGGAGCAAACAGGAUUAGAUACCCUAGUAGUC